This 253-nucleotide ribosomal RNA is filed under the name uncultured bacterium. RNAcentral describes it as "partial 16S ribosomal RNA". It matches the Rfam family "Bacterial small subunit ribosomal RNA", at positions 524 to 776 of the family's 1533-position model. The record is from RNAcentral.
UACAGAGGGGGCAAGCGUUAUUCGGAAUUAUUGGGCGUAAAGGGCGCGUAGGCGGCCUGGCAAGUGGAUGGUGAAAUCCCUCGGCUUAACCGAGGAACUGCCGUCCAAACUGCUUGGCUUGAGACCGGGAGAGGUGAGUGGAAUUCCCAGUGUAGCGGUGAAAUGCGUAGAUAUUGGGAGGAACACCAGUGGCGAAGGCGGCUCACUGGACCGGAACUGACGCUGAUGCGCGAAAGCGUGGGGAGCAAACGGG